RNAcentral lists this ribosomal RNA (482 nucleotides) under uncultured bacterium. RNAcentral describes it as "partial 16S ribosomal RNA". It matches the Rfam family "Bacterial small subunit ribosomal RNA", at positions 28 to 507 of the family's 1533-position model. The record is from RNAcentral.
GAUGAACGCUAGCGGCAGGCCUAAUACAUGCAAGUCGGACGGGAUUCAGGAGCUUGCUUCUGAUGAGAGUGGCGCACGGGUGCGUAACACGUAUGUAACCUACCUUUAUCAGGGGGAUAGCCUCUCGAAAGAGAGAUUAAGCCCGCAUAAAAUCACAGCACAGCAUUGUGUAAUGAUCAAAUAUCUAUAGGAUAAAGAUGGGCAUGCGGAACAUUAGCUAGAUGGCGGGGUAACGGCCCACCAUGGCGACGAUGUUUAGGGGAUCUGAGAGGAUGGCCCCCCACACUGGUACUAAGACACGGACCAGACUCCUACGGGAGGCAGCAGUAAGGAAUAUUGGUCAAGGGGCGGAAGCCUGAACCAGCCAUGCCGCGUGCAGGAAGACGGCCCUACGGGUUGUAAACUGCUUUUAUACGGGAAUAAACCCAGAUACGUGUAUCUGGCUGAAUGUACUGUAAGAAUAAGGAUCGGCUAACUCCGUG